This 254-nucleotide ribosomal RNA is filed under the name uncultured bacterium. RNAcentral's name for it is "partial 16S ribosomal RNA". It matches the Rfam family "Bacterial small subunit ribosomal RNA", at positions 524 to 776 of the family's 1533-position model. The record is from RNAcentral.
GACGAACCGUGCGAACGUUAUUCGGAAUCACUGGGCUUAAAGCGCGUGUAGGCGGGACGGCACGUCGGUCGCUGAAAGCCCCCGGCUCAACCGGGGAACGGGCGCCGAUACGACCGGCCUGGAGGGACGUAGGGGGACCUGGAACUUCCGGUGGAGCGGUGAAAUGCGUAGAGAUCGUAAGGAAGACCAGUGGCGAAGGCGAGUUUCUGGACGGUAACUGACGCUGAGGCACGAAGGCCAGGGGAGCAAACGGG